This 379-nucleotide unclassified non-coding RNA is filed under the name Hevea brasiliensis (rubber tree). Lineage: Eukaryota; Viridiplantae; Streptophyta; Magnoliopsida; Malpighiales; Euphorbiaceae. The record is from RNAcentral.
UGAUGCCUAAAUAGUCAAUGAAGUAUUCAAGCAUUUAUAAGCAUGUGAAGGAAGAAGAAGACUAGCAUUUUAUUACUUAUAAUUGUGGGAAAAUAUGCUUCCAUUUAAAUAUCUUUCUUCAACCUUACUACAGUUGAAACAUGGAAAUGAUGCAGCAAUGAUCUUGAUAAUGCAGAUGAUGAUGGCACAAAAUAUUAAGCAGAUCAUAACGAAAAAACAUUAAAUUGCACAUGGUCUAGCAGCACAGGGAAAACUUAUAUAAAGCAACUAGCAAUCAAAUUGCCAAUUAUUUUAAUUAUUUUCACCCAGUACAUGGCCAAUCUAAAGCAAUUAGCAGAAAACUUCAUGUUUCAAUGCAAGCCAUUCGUUCACUUGCCUC